This 257-nucleotide long non-coding RNA is filed under the name Ananas comosus (pineapple). RNAcentral describes it as "long non-coding RNA (ACOM_LNC037360)". The record is from RNAcentral. Lineage: Eukaryota; Viridiplantae; Streptophyta; Magnoliopsida; Poales; Bromeliaceae.
CUAAUUUUUAAAAUAAUAUAAUUUUUAAUUUUUUAAAAUUUUAAUUUUAAAAUUUGAACUCUUAACUUCUAAAAUUAAGUUUUCAAAUUUUUAAAUUUUAAAAAUUUAAUUUUCAAAUUUAAAUUUGAAAGUUAUAAUUUUAAAUUUUAAAAUUCUAAUAUUUUAAAUUUUAAUAUUUUAAAUUUUGAAUUUUAAAAAUUUUAAAUUUGGAUCUGUUCGGAUCUGUAUACAGUUACAACUGCAAAUGAACAAUCUCU